GGCUCAUAAUUGGAGUCUGGCAUGAAAGAAUUAAUGGGUAACAACUGUCUUUUAAGAGGCCUUAGAAUUUACUUAGUAGGUGAAAAUUCCUAUAGACUUAUAAUAGACGAGAAGACCCUAGAAAUUUUAUAUAAAAGGAUGCUUUGUCUUUAUCAUUUUGUUGGGGCGACAGAAUAACAAUGAACUUAUUUUAUCUUAUUUGUACUGACUUUUGAGAAAAAUUAAAUUACUCUAGGGAUAACAGCAUAAUGUGUUAAAGUUUGUGACCUCGAUGUUGGACUAGGGUUUUUGAUGAUCAGAAGUUAUUAAAAUUAGCUCUGU
RNAcentral lists this ribosomal RNA (321 nucleotides) under Trochoidea seetzenii. RNAcentral describes it as "partial 16S ribosomal RNA". The record is from RNAcentral. Lineage: Eukaryota; Metazoa; Mollusca; Gastropoda; Stylommatophora; Geomitridae.